This 316-nucleotide unclassified non-coding RNA is filed under the name Hevea brasiliensis (rubber tree). The record is from RNAcentral. Lineage: Eukaryota; Viridiplantae; Streptophyta; Magnoliopsida; Malpighiales; Euphorbiaceae.
AAAGGAACAGAGAAUGCUGACCCAAACUCAAAAUCGUCAUCAUAUUCUACAGUGCAAGGGGAUAAACUUUUCAAUGGUAAUUGAUUUCCAAAAGUUUGUUUAGAGUUUGGGUCAGCAUUCUCUGUUCCUUUUAAAGUUCUCAUUCUUUUCACAUUUGUUCUUAGCAAAGGCUUAAAUGAGGAAGAUAAUGAAUCUCUCACAGAAUCUCCACUGGGAAGAAAGGGUUGUGGCAAUUUAUGGUGUUGAAACAGCUUCAAAUUUCGGUCCAGAUUUUCCUUAUUGUCAUGUUGGUUCUGAUUUCCUUUUAUGUCCUGCA